RNAcentral lists this transfer RNA (73 nucleotides) under Canis lupus familiaris (dog). It matches the Rfam family "tRNA". Rfam says of the family: Transfer RNA (tRNA) molecules are approximately 80 nucleotides in length. Their secondary structure includes four short double-helical elements and three loops (D, anti-codon, and T loops). RNAcentral also lists the same sequence under 1 other name. Lineage: Eukaryota; Metazoa; Chordata; Mammalia; Carnivora; Canidae. The record is from Rfam by way of RNAcentral.
GCCUGGCUGGCUUGGUUGGAAGAGCAUGAGACUCUUGAUCUCAGGGUUGUGAGUUCGAGCCCCAUGUUGGAUG